RNAcentral lists this ribosomal RNA (1110 nucleotides) under Triticum aestivum (bread wheat). RNAcentral's name for it is "partial small subunit ribosomal RNA". The record is from RNAcentral. Lineage: Eukaryota; Viridiplantae; Streptophyta; Magnoliopsida; Poales; Poaceae.
AUGGAUGCUCCUGAUUCCGACCUCCACAUGGAGAUGGAGGAUCCUGAUCUUGAGGCGGCCAUGGGUUUUCCGGUUACUGCUUCGCUGGGCCCUGUUGGUCCCCUCCUCCGGCAACUCCGUGAGCUGACCACUCUACACAACGUGGUUAGCGGGGAUGAGAUUCAGGGGCUCACUGAGCAUCUCCAUGGAUUAUGCGUCUCCCUCAUGCAUCAGUCGGAGGCAGAGGCGGAGGAACCUCUGAACUCCACGGCCAAGUGCUGGAUGAGAGAGGUCCGCGAGCUAUGCUAUGACACCAACAACUACUUGAACGAUGCCCCAUUUAUUUCCAAACAAGACGAUGAUCAUGGCCUCACUCCACAAGAGAAGCAAGAAAAUGCCCAGUUUGAAUUCAAGAUGCUCGUGGCCCGAGCCAAGAGUGCAAGCAAAAGGCGUCAGAGGUGCGAAAUCAAUCACAAGAGCAUCAGCAAGACCACUAAACUUUCAUACACGGGUCGAGGGCUUCCAGUUCUCCAUCCGGAACUGAUUGAUCGUGGUCGAAUGGAUGAGCUUGCUGACAUGCUGGGUAAGGACGAGGAGAAGCAGCUCAAGGUUGUAUCUCUUGUUGGACUUGAGGGUGUGGGUAAGACCACACUUGCCAAGAGGGUAUACCACAAGACCGUUGGGCAAUUCCAGUGCCGGGCUUUUGUGCGGGUGUCUCCCAACCCGGACAUGAGGAGGCUUCUAACCAACAUAUUAUGGCAGAUUCAAUUGCCCGCCUUUCCUUCUUCUUCUUCUUCUUUUUCUGAGGGUGUCACUCAGCCUGCUUCCUGCUUGGAUGCACAGGACCUCAUCACUAAUAUCCAAGAUUAUCUGCGGCAUAAAAGCUCGUUCAGAGGACCAGAGGAAAGCUCGUACUGUCAUUCAUAUAUGACCCUAAAAUCAAAAUCUUCGGAGACUACGAGACCGACGCUGCUGCUGCCCAGUUCGACUACGGAGUUGACGACCCCUCUCUCUUGCCAGAGCAACCAGAUGCUGGAGCCCUGGAGCCAGACGCCACCUUCGACGACGACUACUACACUGGAGGUGCCUACUACUACGUGCAGCCCAUUGCCGACGACCAAGAGUAGUUAG